GUACUCUGAAGAGAGAGUAAACAGUACGUGAAGCCGCAUGCAGGUAAACGGGUGGCGUCAAGCUGCGAGCCCGGAGGAUUCAACUGAUUAGGAUGUAGUGUACGCGCGCCUGGUGCGUCGAGAGACCGGAAUAAGAUGUUUUGCGGUCCGCUCCUCUGCUAGGAGUGGGGCGCUAUCAGUGUGCACGCGAAAGCGUGCCUGCUGGUUGUCGCUAUGCAUGCCGGGUGGGUGCCGGAGCAUGCCGCUCAUCUGUUGGGUCACCUAGUCAGUGCAUUUUCUCCGCGGUGAACACCACGACCGGUGGAACUGCCAGUCUGCUGUCAUCAAGUCGUGUCCAUCUGACCCCUCCCUCUUGCUCCUUUGUGGGUGAUGGGUGGAUGUGUGUGUUGGGUGGGUACGAUCGCGGAUAGAGUCGGUGGACGGCGCAGUGGUGUCUCGGCACCGCCGCGUGUUAUCGUGCACUCUCCGUUCUAAGCGAUUAGUGGGGCUGACUGAGCGCUGUAACUGCCUCCCCAUUGAUCGGCGGAUAGCAGUGGUAAAAAUGACUGUGCAGGGCACCGGAGUUGUCCACCUCAUUCAUUUAUUCAUUCGUGAAUAAGUGAAAAUGGCACCCGACACGCACGUUACAGGUGCUAUGCAAUCGGGGCGCGCCGCCGCCUGUCUGGUGUUGGGCCUGACCGUCGUGUUGCCUGCGCAAAGUGGGUCCGGCGGUGGUUGCAGACACUUGGCAAUGGUAGUGUGUAGCGCGUUUCGGGUGUGUGUGGUGCC
Molecule: ribosomal RNA, 768 nt
Filed under: Paranoplocephala cf. omphalodes AK-2019
Lineage: Eukaryota; Metazoa; Platyhelminthes; Cestoda; Cyclophyllidea; Anoplocephalidae
Description: partial large subunit ribosomal RNA
Source: RNAcentral